AUUGAACGCUGGCGGCAGGCCUAACACAUGCAAGUCGAGCGGAUGAAGGGAGCUUGCUCCUGGAUUCAGCGGCGGACGGGUGAGUAAUGCCUAGGAAUCUGCCUGGUAGUGGGGGAUAACGUCCGGAAACGGGCGCUAAUACCGCAUACGUCCUGAGGGAGAAAGUGGGGGAUCUUCGGACCUCACGCUAUCAGAUGAGCCUAGGUCGGAUUAGCUAGUUGGUGGGGUAAAGGCCUACCAAGGCGACGAUCCGUAACUGGUCUGAGAGGAUGAUCAGUCACACUGGAACUGAGACACGGUCCAGACUCCUACGGGAGGCAGCAGUGGGGAAUAUUGGACGAUGGGCGAAAGAAUGAUCCAGCCAUGCCGCGUGUGUGAAGAAGGUCUUCGGAUUGUAAAGCACUUUAAGUUGGGAGGAAGGGCAGUAAGUUAAUACCUUGCUGUUUUGACGUUACCAACAGAAUAAGCACCGGCUAACUUCGUG
This 484-nucleotide ribosomal RNA is filed under the name uncultured bacterium. Its description in RNAcentral is "partial 16S ribosomal RNA". It matches the Rfam family "Bacterial small subunit ribosomal RNA", at positions 30 to 507 of the family's 1533-position model. The record is from RNAcentral.